AGUCAGGAUCACCCUUAAGAGAGUGUAAUCCUAUCUACAGAAUACCUUUACAGCAAUCCCUGGAUUAGUGCUCAGUUGAAUGAGUGGGGGCUGAAUGACUGGGGACUGCAGCCUAGCCAGGCUGAUACAUGAAAAAGAUCAUCACAUAUGUCUAAACCGUGGACCAAGCCUUAAGAAAUAUGUCAACAUAAGAUUAGCUCAGAAAAAAUGUGUCAUGAGCCAGAGAAGACAGGUACAAAGUAGAGUUGAAGAACAAGAAACAGAUGAGACAACAGCCAUUUCAAAAAGAAGACGAGAACAAUAAAGGAGAGCAAUAUAUAUCAUAUAUACAAUAAUGAAGAACAAUAAUAUUGGCUAUGGUUUUUCUCGGGAUUCAGAACUUCUGAGAAAAAUACUCUGAUAUCCCUAAAGCUUUGAAAUGCAGUUAUAGGUAAAGAAGCUGCAGAAAUCAGAUGGGUUCUUUUUGGGUUAUCUAAACAUGAAAUUUUGGAGUCUAAUACAUCCUUUGGGAUUAAAAGAGUCAUUAAGAAGCCAUUUAUCUACAAAAGUAUCAGGAAGAAAGCACUGAAUCCAGAUGGUUAUCAAGUUAUAUUUUGGGAAAUAUUCAGUGAUAAAGUAUAUCCAAUUUUAAACAAGA
Long non-coding RNA from Herpailurus yagouaroundi (jaguarundi), 637 nucleotides. RefSeq lists it as uncharacterized. The transcript is spliced from 3 exons. The record is from RefSeq and is a predicted model, not a curated record. NCBI's taxonomy places the organism in Eukaryota, Metazoa, Chordata, Mammalia, Carnivora, Felidae.